Molecule: non-coding RNA, 90 nt
Organism: Polychaeton citri CBS 116435
Lineage: Eukaryota; Fungi; Ascomycota; Dothideomycetes; Capnodiales; Capnodiaceae
Source: the annotation of a GenBank genome assembly
GGUUUUGUGGUCUAGUGGUAUGAUUCUCGCUUAGGGCUACCUAAGCACAAAAUUUGCGAGAGGUCCCGUGUUCGAUCCACGGCAAAACCC